AGCCUUUGGAGAGGAUUAAAGGUUAUACCUGCCCAAUGUCAUAAUUAAUGGCCGCGGUACUUUGACCGUGCUAAGGUAGCACAAUCAAUUGGCCCUUAAUUAGGGUCAGGUAUGAAUGGAGUUACGGGGCUUAGCUGUCUCUAAACUAUUUAAUUGAAGUUGCUGUAUAGGUGAAAAAGCCUAUAUUAAGAAAAAAGACGAGAAGACCCUUAGAGUUUUACUUAAGAAAGAAUUAUUUCUUCACUAGUUUUGUUGGGGCAACAUAGGAGAAGAAUUAAACCUCCUAAAGCAUAUAAACCGAUGUUUUUAAAUAUGAAUAAACUACCUUAGGGAUAACAGCAUAAUUUU
RNAcentral lists this ribosomal RNA (348 nucleotides) under Chromodoris colemani. RNAcentral describes it as "partial 16S ribosomal RNA". It matches the Rfam family "Archaeal large subunit ribosomal RNA", at positions 1920 to 2558 of the family's 2987-position model. The record is from RNAcentral. Lineage: Eukaryota; Metazoa; Mollusca; Gastropoda; Nudibranchia; Chromodorididae.